This 253-nucleotide ribosomal RNA is filed under the name uncultured bacterium. RNAcentral's name for it is "partial 16S ribosomal RNA". It matches the Rfam family "Bacterial small subunit ribosomal RNA", at positions 524 to 776 of the family's 1533-position model. The record is from RNAcentral.
GACGAACCGUGCGAAUGUUGUUCGGAAUCACUGGGCUUAAAGGGAGCGUAGGCGGGCUAUCAAGUCUGGGGUGAAAUGCCGCGGCUCAACCGUGGAACUGCCUUAGAUACUGACGGCCUCGAGGGAGAUAGGGGCAUGCGGAACAUUGGGUGGAGCGGUGAAAUGCGUUGAUAUCCAAUGGAACUCCGGUGGCGAAAGCGGCGUGCUGGAUCUCUUCUGACGCUGAGGCUCGAAAGCUAGGGGAGCAAACGGG